Molecule: long non-coding RNA, 327 nt
Organism: Erinaceus europaeus (western European hedgehog)
Lineage: Eukaryota; Metazoa; Chordata; Mammalia; Eulipotyphla; Erinaceidae
Exons: 3
Source: RefSeq, a predicted model, not a curated record
CCUGACAAAGUGGUCUCCAAACACCCAACCCAGGAGUUCAGGCCUUCUCGUUCAGAAAGGAAGCCAUGGGCAGUGGAAACUGCAGCACCCAGAGUGGGAAAUGGGAAUGACAGGAGGCAGGAGGCGGUCAUCUUGGGACCCUGAUGUUGUAACACUCAGUGUGGUUCUGCAAGGAGAGACUCAAACUUAUUUGACAAGAAGAGAGCAUUCUGUUCCACCACAAGUCAUGCUGGUAAUUCUUCAGACCUUGCACUUGGCCGGAACAGUCUACCCUCAGGAGUCUCUCCUAAACUGUUCCACCUGCUUGUUGGAGGUCUUUGUUAUAGC